GUACUAAUUUGACUUUAAAAAAAAUGAGCCCAAUCAGGUUGGUAUCCUUAGAAAAAUUUUGAAUUGAAUAUUACUCAAACUACUUGCUCUCCAAUUAUUUCAGACAUUUAAAGAAAAAAAAUUUAAAGCAAAUCAGAGACUGUACACACCAUUUCUGCUCUCUGGCUACCGAAGGAUCUCUUAUUUCUCCUUCAAAAACCACCGGGUCAUUACCCUCUCUUCAAAGCCUGGGGGCACUCUGCCCACCUUACUCAAAAGCCGGACAGCCCCUCCCUCCUCCCUUAUACCUGGAGGAAGCAGCGGUGGUCUGAAAGUCAGAUGGGGUCACUAUACGCCAGCGGGUGUGGAGCAGGCUGUUGGGGACCCUCUCUAGGGAAUACCAAAUGACGGCCGGACUAGUGCACAGUGCAGCAUCCUGCAAAGACUCUGAGCCCUUCUGCUCCGGGGGCAAGGAGACCAUUGGGAAUCUGGGUCCUCCAGUGGAUUGGCCUGGAAUGGCUAAUUAGAAGCUUGACCUUUCACAUGUCUGGGGAAUGUGAGUCUCCAGAACCCAACAAGAUUGGAACAAGGAAGCUCAUACCCUCAAUGCUGUUGGCAGCCACUCUGUGGCCAUGAGAUCCAGCUUUAAAAUGAUCCUUUGAGUAACAGAGCAAAGAGGCAGAAAGAUACUUGGGUUUUGAUGACUUCAAUGGAUAUUGGAUCAGUCAAUACCCUGAAAUCUGUCCUCUGGAUUCUAGAUCCCUUCUGUGACCUGCGGUGGCAUUUCUGUCUUCUCCGGUCUGGCUCAGCUGUUUGCAGGGAAGACCUCCUGCCAGCUGAAUCAGCCACCCAGUUGCUGAGCUGGUCCUGACUCAGGUUAUUUGCUCAUCCAAUGGUCCUCAUCACUGCUGCCAGGUGCUGGGUA
Molecule: long non-coding RNA, 904 nt
Filed under: Heterocephalus glaber (naked mole-rat)
Lineage: Eukaryota; Metazoa; Chordata; Mammalia; Rodentia; Bathyergidae
Description: lncRNA (ENSHGLG00000037146.1)
Source: RNAcentral